RNAcentral lists this small RNA (89 nucleotides) under Flavobacterium cauense R2A-7. RNAcentral describes it as "Flavo-1 RNA". It matches the Rfam family "Flavo-1 RNA". Lineage: Bacteria; Pseudomonadati; Bacteroidota; Flavobacteriia; Flavobacteriales; Flavobacteriaceae. The record is from RNAcentral.
GUAUAGCCCUGAUGGCAGCGGCAUCCUUUUUUUGGUGACUGCGGUUCCCGAAGACACUAAAAAAGAUAUAGCGUACAGCAGGACUGAAA